RNAcentral lists this ribosomal RNA (488 nucleotides) under uncultured bacterium. Its description in RNAcentral is "bacterial SSU rRNA". It matches the Rfam family "Bacterial small subunit ribosomal RNA", at positions 791 to 1283 of the family's 1533-position model. The record is from RNAcentral.
UAGUCUACGCGGUAAACGAUGGAUACUAGUUGUCGGGGAAAUUGAGACUCGGUGGCUAAGCGAAAGUGAUAAGUAUCCCACCUGGGGAGUACGAUCGCAAGAUUGAAACUCAAAGGAAUUGACGGGGGCCCGCACAAGCGGUGGAGCAUGUGGUUUAAUUCGAUGAUACGCGAGGAACCUUACCUGGGCUUAAAUGUAGAUUGACGUAACUGGAAACAGUUAUUCCUUCGGGCAAUUUACAAGGUGCUGCAUGGUUGUCGUCAGCUCGUGCCGUGAGGUGUCAGGUUAAGUCCUAUAACGAGCGCAACCCCUAUCGAUAGUUGCUAGCAGGUCAUGCUGAGGACUCUGUUGAGGCUGCCGGUGCAAACCGUGAGGAAGGUGGGGAUGACGUCAAAUCAUCACGGCCCUUACGUCCAGGGCUACACACGUGCUACAAUGGUGCAUACAGAGAGCAGCCAUCUAGUGAUAGAGAGCGAAUCUAUAAAGUG